CCUACGGGUAUCCUCCUUCGGGCAUUUUGCGCAAUGGGCGAAAGCCUGACGCAGCAACGCCGCGUGAACGAGACGCCCUUUGGGGUGUAAAGUUCUGUCAGUGGGGACGAAAGAUGACGGUACCCACAGAGGAAGCACUGGCUAACUCCGUGCCAGCAGCCGUGGUAAUACGGAGGGUGCCAGCGUUGUCCGGAAUCAUUGGGCGUAAAGAGUUCGUAGGCGGUAUGUUAAGUCUGGUGUUAAAUGCAGAAGCUCAACUUCUGUUCGGCACUGGAUACUGGCAAACUAGAAUGCGGUAGAGGUAAAGGGAAGUCCUGGUGUAGCGGUGAAAUGCUUAGAUAUCAGGAGGAACAUCGGUGGCGUAAGCGCUUUACUGGGCCGUAAUUGACGCUGAGGAACGAAAGCCAGGGUAGCAAAUGGGAUUAGAUACCCUUGUAGUC
RNAcentral lists this ribosomal RNA (440 nucleotides) under uncultured bacterium. RNAcentral describes it as "partial 16S ribosomal RNA". It matches the Rfam family "Bacterial small subunit ribosomal RNA", at positions 338 to 795 of the family's 1533-position model. The record is from RNAcentral.